UACGAAGGGUGCAAGCGUUACUCGGAAUUACUGGGCGUAAAGCGUGCGUAGGUGGUUUGUUAAGUCUGAUGUGAAAGCCCUGGGCUCAACCUGGGAACUGCAUUGGAAACUGGCUUACUAGAGUGCGGUAGAGGGGUGCGGAAUUCCCGGUGUAGCAGUGAAAUGCGUAGAUACUGGGAGGAACACCGGUGGCGAAGGCGGCUACCUGGACCGGUUCUGACGCUGAUGCGCGAAAGCGUGGGUAGCAAACAGG
Molecule: ribosomal RNA, 253 nt
Filed under: uncultured bacterium
Lineage: Bacteria
Description: partial 16S ribosomal RNA
Rfam family: Bacterial small subunit ribosomal RNA
Source: RNAcentral